AGCUUUCUGUAUCCGUGGUGAGAUUUCGUCGGCGAUCAAUCCAUUGGGGCUGAUGCAGCUUCCCAAAUAAAUUAAGUG
Molecule: microRNA precursor, 78 nt
Filed under: Trichobilharzia regenti
Lineage: Eukaryota; Metazoa; Platyhelminthes; Trematoda; Strigeidida; Schistosomatidae
Description: mir-3492 microRNA precursor family
Rfam family: mir-3492 microRNA precursor family
Source: Rfam by way of RNAcentral